AUUGAACGCUGGCGGCAGGCCUAACACAUGCAAGUCGAGCGGAUGAAGGGAGCUUGCUCCUGGAUUCAGCGGCGGACGGGUGAGUAAUGCCUAGUAAUCUGCCUGGUAGUGGGGGAUAACGUCCGGAAACGGGCGCUAAUACCGCAUACGUCCUGAGGGAGAAAGUGGGGGAUCUUCGGACCUCACGCUAUCAGAUGAGCCUAGGUCGGAUUAGCUAGUUGGUGGGGUAAAGGCCUACCAAGGCGACGAUCCGUAACUGGUCUGAGAGGAUGAUCAGUCACACUGGAACUGAGACACGGUCCAGACUCCUACGGGAGGCAGCAGUGGGGAAUAUUGGACAAUGGGCGAAAGCCUGAACCAGCCAUGCCGCGUGGGUGAAGAAGGUCUUCGGAUUGUAAAGCACUUUAAGUUGGGAGGAAGGGCAGUAAGUUAAUACCUUGCUGUUUGGACGUUACCAACAGAAUAAGCACCGGCUAACUUCGU
Molecule: ribosomal RNA, 483 nt
Filed under: uncultured bacterium
Lineage: Bacteria
Description: partial 16S ribosomal RNA
Rfam family: Bacterial small subunit ribosomal RNA
Source: RNAcentral